CCUACGUGAGGCAGCAGUGGGGAAUAUUGCACAAUGGGGGAAACCCUGAUGCAGCGACGCCGCGUGAGUGAAGAAGUAAUUCGUUAUGUAAAGCUCUAUCAGCAGGGAAGAAAAUGACGGUACCUGAGUAAGAAGCCCCGGCUAACUACGUGCCAGCAGCCGCGGUAAUACGUAGGGGGCAAGCGUUAUCCGGAUUUACUGGGUGUAAAGGGAGCGUAGACGGCAGGGCAAGUCUGGAGUGAAAUGCGGGGGCUCAACCCCCGGACUGCUCUGGAAACUGUACGGCUGGAGUGCAGGAGAGGUAAGUGGAAUUCCUAGUGUAGCGGUGAAAUGCGUAGAUAUUAGGAGGAACACCAGUGGCGAAGGCGGCUUACUGGACUGUAACUGACGUUGAGGCUCGAAAGCGUGGGGAGCAAACAGGAUUAGAUACCCGGGUAGUC
This 440-nucleotide ribosomal RNA is filed under the name uncultured bacterium. RNAcentral's name for it is "partial 16S ribosomal RNA". It matches the Rfam family "Bacterial small subunit ribosomal RNA", at positions 338 to 795 of the family's 1533-position model. The record is from RNAcentral.